UGAAUACGAGAUGCUACGGCGUCGAAGCAGUCUAUGUCAUACUUCCAAGAAAAGCUUGCACUGUCAUAAACAAAUAAUGCCUGUACCAUAACCGACACAGGUGGGUAGGUAGAGUAUACUAAGGGGCGCGAGAUAACUCUCUCUAAGGAACUCGGCAAAAUGACUCCGUAACCUCGGGAGAAGGAGUGCCUUAUUUAUAAGGUUGCAAUAACAAGAUCCAAGCAACUGUUUACCAAAAACACAGGUCUCCGCUAAGUCGUAAGACGAUGUAUGGGGGCUGACGCCUGCCCAGUGCCAGAAGGUUAAAGAAGUUGGUUAGCAUCCGCGAAGCUGAUAACUGAAGCCCUGGUGAACGGCGGCCGUAACAAUAACGGUCCUAAGGUAGCGAAAUUCCUUGUCGGGUAAGUUCCGACCCGCACGAAAGGCGUAAUGAUUUGGAUACUGUCUCGGAGAGGGGCUCGGUGAAAUAGACUUGUCUGUGAAGAUGCGGACUACCUGCACCAGGACAGAAAGACCCUAUGAAGCUUUACUGUAACCUGAAAUUGAAAUUGGACUUUACUUGCGCAGUAUAGGUGGGAGGCGUUGAGAAUAUUCUUGCGGGAUUAUUGGAGCCAUCAGUGAGAUACCACUCUUGUAAUGUUAGAUUUCUAACUUUGUAUCAUUAUCUGGUCAAAGAACAGUUUCAGGCGGGCAGUUUGACUGGGGCGGUCGCCUCCUAAACGGUAACGGAGGCGCACAAAGGUUUCCUCUGAACGGGUAGAAAUCGUAUCUAGAGUGUAAAGGCAUAAGGAAGCUUGACUGUGAGACCUACAAGUCGAGCAGGGACGAAAGUCGGUCUUAGUGAUCUGACGGUGCUGAGUGGAAAGGCCGUCACUCAACGGAUAAAAGUUACUCUAAGGAUAACAGGCUGAUCUCCCCCAAGAGUUCACAUCGACGGGGAGGUUUGGCACCUCGAUGUCGGCUCAUCGCAUCCUGGGGCGGUAGUACGUCCCAAGGGUUGGGCUGUUCGCCCAUGAAAGCGGUACGCGAGCUGGGUUCAGAACGUCGUGAGACAGUUCGGUCCAUAUCCGGUGUAGGCGUUAGAAUAUUGAGAGGAGCCUUCUUUAGUACGAGAGGACCGAGAAGGACAUACCUCUGGUGUACCAGUUAUCGUGCCAACGGUAAACGCUGGGUAGCUAUGUGUGGAGUGGAUAACCGCUGAAAGCAUCUAAGUGGGAAGCCCACCUCAAGAUAAG
This 1235-nucleotide ribosomal RNA is filed under the name metagenome. Its description in RNAcentral is "bacterial LSU rRNA". It matches the Rfam family "Bacterial large subunit ribosomal RNA", at positions 1564 to 2808 of the family's 2925-position model. The record is from RNAcentral.